This 262-nucleotide long non-coding RNA is filed under the name Lathyrus oleraceus (garden pea). Its description in RNAcentral is "Pisum sativum (pea) long non-coding RNA (PSAT_LNC000046)". Lineage: Eukaryota; Viridiplantae; Streptophyta; Magnoliopsida; Fabales; Fabaceae. The record is from RNAcentral.
GAUUUGUUUGCGUAUUGGCCGAGAAAGAAGGACCGUUUGUUGUUCAGCUAGUUGCUUGGCAAGUUGCCCCACUUGAGUUUCAAGAUUUUUUAUGGCCGCGUCAUUACUCUUUUGAUUGGCCAUUGACAUUUGCAUGAAUUGCGUCAAUGUCUCUUCCAAUUUAGAAUUGACUACCGGCGGUUGUUGAGAUUGAUACGGAUUUUGGGGAGGAUUUUGACGGCUAGAAGAACCACCUCCAUAACCUUGGUUAUGAUAAUAGUUG